This 610-nucleotide ribosomal RNA is filed under the name uncultured Leifsonia sp. Its description in RNAcentral is "bacterial SSU rRNA". It matches the Rfam family "Bacterial small subunit ribosomal RNA", at positions 833 to 1442 of the family's 1533-position model. The record is from RNAcentral. Lineage: Bacteria; Bacillati; Actinomycetota; Actinomycetes; Micrococcales; Microbacteriaceae.
CACGGUUUCCGUGUCGCAGCUAACGCAUUAAGCGCCCCGCCUGGGGAGUACGGCCGCAAGGCUAAAACUCAAAGGAAUUGACGGGGGCCCGCACAAGCGGCGGAGCAUGCGGAUUAAUUCGAUGCAACGCGAAGAACCUUACCAAGGCUUGACAUAUACGAGAACGGGCUAGAAAUAGUCAACUCUUUGGACACUCGUAAACAGGUGGUGCAUGGUUGUCGUCAGCUCGUGUCGUGAGAUGUUGGGUUAAGUCCCGCAACGAGCGCAACCCUCGUUCUAUGUUGCCAGCACGUAAUGGUGGGAACUCAUAGGAGACUGCCGGGGUCAACUCGGAGGAAGGUGGGGAUGACGUCAAAUCAUCAUGCCCCUUAUGUCUUGGGCUUCACGCAUGCUACAAUGGCCGGUACAAAGGGCUGCAAUACCGCAAGGUGGAGCGAAUCCCAAAAAGCCGGUCUCAGUUCGGAUUGAGGUCUGCAACUCGACCUCAUGAAGUCGGAGUCGCUAGUAAUCGCAGAUCAGCAACGCUGCGGUGAAUACGUUCCCGGGCCUUGUACACACCGCCCGUCAAGUCAUGAAAGUCGGUAACACCCGAAGCCGGUGGCCUAACCCU